Molecule: non-coding RNA, 30 nt
Filed under: Homo sapiens (human)
Lineage: Eukaryota; Metazoa; Chordata; Mammalia; Primates; Hominidae
Source: RNAcentral
UGUCCUGUUAGGUGUUGUUUCACUGCAGUU